RNAcentral lists this long non-coding RNA (626 nucleotides) under Canis lupus familiaris (dog). RNAcentral's name for it is "lncRNA (ENSCAFG00845002775.1)". The record is from RNAcentral. Lineage: Eukaryota; Metazoa; Chordata; Mammalia; Carnivora; Canidae.
CUGAUGGGUGGGACUAUGUUCCCCGCUGUGUGAGGCUCUCACUCCCUGGUGGCAUUUAGAGGGCUAGAUUCCAGAUUGUGCAGCAACACCUCCCAUCAGCUCAGUCCCUCCUCUGUUCUCUCUGAGGACAGGGAAACUACAACCAUGUAGGUCCUCAUGCUAAGGACAAUGUUGACCAGUCCUGGUGCUCAUCCUCCAGAAGACUGUGUUUUCCAUACCACCUCACUGUUUAGGGGGCUGGCCAAGCUCCGGAUGAUGGGCUGCAGGCCACUUCUAGGCCUGCCCCAUAAAACCUGGAGCUAGAGAUAAUUGUGGCUUGUGAUUUCACCAGGACCUGUCCACUUUCUCUGAAAAUAGCUAGUUGGUGGGGCCUCCCCUGCAUCCAGAACGCGAGCCUCAGGAGAGUCCAAGAUUGGCCAUCAGCGUUCAGCCUCUGCAAGUGGAAAGAGGGUGGGAGGCAGGUGGAGAGAGCAUAUCUAAGAUGCUUGCCUCAUCCACCCUGUGACUGCUUCGUAGCCACAUGCAUCCUUCCCUUCAGCUUUGAAAAGGUGGGGACAGGAUGGACGAUGCAGACGUGCUCAUGGGCUGGUGGCUCGCAUAUGCGCACACACAUGGACAUUAUGUGA